This 713-nucleotide ribosomal RNA is filed under the name Lachnospiraceae bacterium G34. Its description in RNAcentral is "bacterial SSU rRNA". It matches the Rfam family "Bacterial small subunit ribosomal RNA", at positions 17 to 728 of the family's 1533-position model. The record is from RNAcentral. Lineage: Bacteria; Bacillati; Bacillota; Clostridia; Lachnospirales; Lachnospiraceae.
UCAUGGCUCAGGAUGAACGCUGGCGGCGUGCUUAAUACAUGCAAGUCGAACGAAGAUAUUUCGCUGAGGCGAGCUUGCUCAAUUCUUGAAAUAUCUUAGUGGCGGACGGGUGAGUAACGCGUGGGUAACCUGCCUUACACAGGGGGAUAACAGUUAGAAAUGACUGCUAAUACCGCAUAAGCGCACGGUAUCGCAUGAUACAGUGUGAAAAGAUUUAUCGGUGUAAGAUGGACCCGCGUCUGAUUAGCUAGUUGGUGAGGUAACGGCCCACCAAGGCGACGAUCAGUAGCCGGCCUGAGAGGGUGAACGGCCACAUUGGGACUGAGACACGGCCCAAACUCCUACGGGAGGCAGCAGUAGGGAAUAUUGGACAAUGGGGGCAACCCUGAUCCAGCGACGCCGCGUGAGUGAAGAAGUAUUUCGGUACGUAAAGCUCUAUCAGCAGGGAAGAAAAUGACGGUACCUGACUAAGAAGCACCGGCUAAAUACGUGCCAGCAGCCGCGGUAAUACGUAUGGUGCAAGCGUUAUUCGGAUUUACUGGGUGUAAAGGGAGCGUAGACGGCAUAGCAAGUCUGAAGUGAAAUGCGGGGGCUCAACCCCUGAACUGCUUUGGAAACUGUUAAGCUAGAGUGUCGGAGAGGUUAGUGGAAUUCCUAGUGUAGCGGUGAAAUGCGUAGAUAUUAGGAGGAACACCGGUGGCGAAGGCGGCUAA